This 69-nucleotide transfer RNA is filed under the name Marmota marmota marmota (Alpine marmot). It matches the Rfam family "tRNA". Rfam says of the family: Transfer RNA (tRNA) molecules are approximately 80 nucleotides in length. Lineage: Eukaryota; Metazoa; Chordata; Mammalia; Rodentia; Sciuridae. RNAcentral also lists the same sequence under 4 other names. The record is from Rfam by way of RNAcentral.
GGGGAUGUGGCUUAGUGAAGGAGCACUUGCCUGAAAUACAUGAGACCUUGGGUUCAAUCCCCAGCCCUA